GCUGGCGGCGUGCCUAAUACAUGCAAGUCGAGCGAACAGAUGGGAGCUUGCUCCCUGAUGUUAGCGGCGGACGGGUGAGUAACACGUGGGUAACCUGCCUGUAAGACUGGGAUAACUCCGGGAAACCGGGGCUAAUACCGGAUGCUUGUUUGAACCGCAUGGUUCAAAUAUAAAAGGUGGCUUUUAGCUACCACUUACAGAUGGACCCGCGGCGCAUUACUAGUUGGUGAGGUAACGGCUCACCAGGCACGAU
RNAcentral lists this ribosomal RNA (253 nucleotides) under Bacillus licheniformis. RNAcentral's name for it is "partial 16S ribosomal RNA". It matches the Rfam family "Bacterial small subunit ribosomal RNA", at positions 35 to 280 of the family's 1533-position model. The record is from RNAcentral. Lineage: Bacteria; Bacillati; Bacillota; Bacilli; Caryophanales; Bacillaceae.